UAACACGUGGGUAACCUGCCUUAUAGUGGGGGAUAGCCUUUCGAAAGGAAGAUUAAUACCGCAUAAGAUUGUAGUAUCGCAUGAUAUAGCAAUUAAAGGAGCAAUUCGCUAUAAGAUGGACCCGCGUCGCAUUAGCUAGUUGGUGAGGUAAUGGCUCACCAAGGCGACGAUGCGUAGCCGACCUGAGAGGGUGAUCGGCCACAUUGGGACUGAGACGCGGCCCAGACUCCUACGGGAGGCAGCAUG
This 246-nucleotide ribosomal RNA is filed under the name uncultured bacterium. RNAcentral's name for it is "partial 16S ribosomal RNA". It matches the Rfam family "Bacterial small subunit ribosomal RNA", at positions 111 to 353 of the family's 1533-position model. The record is from RNAcentral.